This 1990-nucleotide ribosomal RNA is filed under the name Triticum aestivum (bread wheat). RNAcentral's name for it is "partial small subunit ribosomal RNA". Lineage: Eukaryota; Viridiplantae; Streptophyta; Magnoliopsida; Poales; Poaceae. The record is from RNAcentral.
GCCUGCUUUUUACGGUUUACUGAGUGCGCAUCGUUCCGGCCGGAGACGAGGUGAGCAUAGAAAAUAUCUGGCUGCACUUCCUCUCUCUCCUCCCCCUCCCCCUCGUCUCCUCCUCUUCUUCAUGCGGCUGACAGCGCAGCUCCUCGCGCCGCCCAUCCGUCCACCCUACUGCUCGUGGGCGAAGCUCCGUCCUCUCCCUGCCAUCAAUUCCCAUGUGUGCAGCGGCGGCCCCGGAGAAAUCCUCACUCGUCCUCGAGCCCACUUCCUCUUCGUUGUCUGGUGGCCAUGGGAUGGGCCUGGAUCUAGAUCGGGCGCAGGUUAGGUGAGGCCGAUGGUUGGGUGAAGGAGUAGGGGAGGCGGGUGAUGAGGACAGGAAGAAGCCGGCCGUUGUGGUGCAGUGGAGCUGCCGGGAAGAAAGAGGAGGUCGGCUGCAUCCCCGGGGGUGCCGGUGGAGGUGCUCCUCAACGAGAUUCGGCCGUGGUGGCUGCGCAGCCUCGCCCUCUCUGCCACAAGAGAUCAGCAUACCAUCGAACUCAGGUCCGGGUCGUUCUGGCCAAGCAGGAGGCUCCCACGGGCGAAGGCGAGGCUGCGACGCCAUGGUCGAGCAAGAGGAUUGCGGUGUUGUGCACGCACCUGGUCGGGUGGUCGUCAUUCACCGCCUUGGACAGCACCAGAUGAAGAUGGAGAACAACGACAGGCCUGCGCAGCCCAGGUGUUGAUGUGAGCCCGUGGUUCACGCUGGUUUCAGGUUAAGAAAGACGGUGAUGGAGGACCUUGGUUUUGUGGGCUGAUUGCCACUGUUUUACCGAUUGUAUGUUUUCUUCUAGACGAGGGUUGUCACUGGUCUGCAGAUGUUGACCAUUCUUAACGAUACACUGCUUUUAGUUUGAAAAUAUAGAGAGUGCUCAGUUGGCUGCUUCAGACGGCAACAGUGGUUAUGUCAGCUCGAAGAAAAGCAGUGCUUGCUUGACGUUGAUGGCUUGACCUUUUGGGCCUCUCUCCUUGGGCUCCUGAUUUCUCAGUGAGGAUCAUCUUGCCAACGUGUUUCACCCUCCUAUCCCCUCGAUUUGGUUAUAGCUUUGCAUCGCUGUCGAAAGAUCAAUGGUUCAAGCCUGAGAAAAUCUAUAAUGUUAUUUGUAGUGGUGAUGAUAGCGAGUCUUCCGGAUCGCUUCCUUAGCCUAACAACGCAGCGUACAAACCAGCUGUUAUCAACAUCGGUAAUGAUACUGGCCCUUCGCCCGUUGCAUGAAAGCCAAGAAAAACAAGAAAAAGGAGCACACAUCGCAUGGGGCACCCGACACUAUCUACUUUCUAAGCUUUGAUGGUCAUUGUACAUGGGGAAACAAAGUGAGGCUAUACAGGAAGCAGCUUACAAAUUUGAGGUGUCUCAUCGCUACAAGGAUGACCUUUGCCACUCGAGGAAUGUAUUUCUCGGUCAGGUUUACCAAGAAAUAUCUCCGCCGCUGUAUUGACCCAAAGCUUUAUGGCUUGCCAAUAAAAUCUGGAGAUGGUAAUACCUGCAUCAAAGCCCGUCUAACCAAAGGAGUCGAUAACAGGGCAACAAUUACGGAAGGAUGGCAGACUUCUUCCCCGCAGCUAAUAUGAAGGAAAUAGAAAUAUAUGCCUUUGCCUUCAAGCGCAACCACAAGCGCCUGCGUCUCACCGUGCACGCCCUCUGAGCAUCGUGUGCAGUCUACUAAACUACAUAAUUAGCCUAUGAAGUUUUGUGUGUAUAGCUUCACCCUAAGAACCUGUUUGCUUUUGGCACUGGACUCUCUGGUCAUCAUGUUCAGUCUAUUUAGCUACCUAAAUAGCCUAUGAAGCUCUGUGUGUAUAGCUUCACCCUAAGAACCUAUUUACUUUUGGCACUACUUUGGUCAUGUAUAAUUUUGGAAUCCAUUGUGCUAUGUUAGAUCCAUGUAUAUAUCUAUUCCAAGUGCGUCUAAUCCUUGUUGUUUAAUGCAAAGGUUUUCUUAUAUUUAGGUGAAAA